UGGGGAAUAUUGGACAAUGGAGGAAACUCUGAUCCAGCAAUUCUGUGUGUGUGAAGAAGGUUUUAGGACUGUAAAACACUUUUAGUAGGGAAGAAAAAAAUGACGGUACCUACAGAAGAAGCAACGGCUAAAUACGUGCCAGCAGCCGCGGUAAUACGUAUGUUGCGAGCGUUAUCCGGAAUUAUUGGGCUUAAAGGGCAUCUAGGCGGUAAGACAAGUUGAAGGUGAAAACCUGUGGCUCAACCAUAGGCUUGCCUACAAAACUGUUGAACUAGAGUACUGGAAAGGUGGGUGGAACUACACGAGUAGAGGUGAAAUUCGUAGAUAUGUGUAGGAAUGCCGAUGAUGAAGAUAACUCACUGGACAGAGACUGACGCUGAAGUGCGAAAGCUAGGGGAGCAAACAGG
This 407-nucleotide ribosomal RNA is filed under the name Verrucomicrobiota bacterium. RNAcentral's name for it is "Verrucomicrobia bacterium partial 16S ribosomal RNA". It matches the Rfam family "Bacterial small subunit ribosomal RNA", at positions 355 to 776 of the family's 1533-position model. Lineage: Bacteria; Pseudomonadati; Verrucomicrobiota. The record is from RNAcentral.